AUACACCAUGUCGUAGCACUUCCCGCCUGAAUCGCGUCCCCUUGCUGGCAAAACCUGUGUCUCGCUUCAGACAUGCUGCUGUAGAUUGGUUCUAAGUCUCCUAUUCAAAGUUUUCACACAUAAAAUUGAAUGAAAUUUUUCAGUUGAGUGACGUGUUCAGUGUGCAGGCUUGACAUAGGGUGAGCAAGCGUGGUUUCAGACAGUAUGGCGGAUUGUUGGUCUAUCGAGGAGGGAGGCUGUAUGUAGAGUCUUCUGCAUGUCUUGUGUCUGGCUGUUACCCUUUUCUUGAUGGCGCAGUGCGAAAAUAUUCAUUUGGAGUUCUAUCUGUUUCCUUUUUGUUUGGAUUUUGAAUUAUUCAUAAUGGUUUGUGGAUUUUUAAAUGUGGCCAUGUGAGUUGUGGUAUGAAUAACUACCUGACAUCGAGUCUUGCUUGUAAUGGCGUCCUCGUAGGUGUGUCGGCAUGGUGAAGUACUUGCAUCGGAUGCGCCUCGCUUGGGAAGAGGCGACCUCGCGGGGUGGAUUUUCUGCACUUUUUGACAUUGUGGGUGUGUGCACUGUGAUAGGACAGGGGACACAUACCUAGUGUACAUCUUGUGAGACUGCACAGACGCUAGGCGGGCGCAUGCGCAGACGACCUAGCUGUAUAUGCCCAUUGCAUUUCUAAACCGCCAAAUUCUGGUGCAGAAGAACGUUAGGUCUUUAGUGUGACCGGGGCUGCCUGUUUAUGAGCAUGGAGCUAUUAUGCAGAGAGAGUUCGUUAUGGUUUUUACAUCUAUGGAAGACAUGUGUUUCUUAGUCUGGAAUUGAGAUGGAGACAGUUGAAGUCAUCUGCAGGUAGUGGUUCAUCUAGGAUGGCCGUCACGUGGACUUCUAGUCAAGACAGACGAUGCAGAUCACUCUGUCUGGGGAGUAGAGCGUGUUCACCAAUUUGGCACCGAGUCCUUGGGAGAAGACCAUGCCUGGCACCAAGCCAUUGUACAGAGACGCCCCUUCCAGGCAGUUCCAGUGCUCUUUGAAUUCCCUGAUACCUCUCAAUUCUGUCGCGACAACCGAGAAUUCCAGUCAUGCUAGGAACUGUCAGUGACUUGGAUCACUUUCAGACAGGAUUGUGCCAUUCAUCCGAGUGGUCUUCUAGCAGAACAAAUUGUUAGAAACAUGUGGGAAUCUUACUAUGUGAAGCUCUGUGAUCUGUUACAACAUCGUGCACGGGGAGGGAUGCUGAGGAACAUUGUCACGUCUCUGCUGGAAUAUAGGACAUGGAGUUUGUUUAGCUGUAAUGGAUGAACAGUGUCUUGACAUCAGUGAGACGUGGUCACUAGGAGGCCAGUCACAGCAGCAUUCGGAGGAGCAUGGUCAGUGGACGUACAAUGGGAGACGACGUGCUGUCGGCACACUGGGCUGCUAAUGAGGUGAAGAGUGAAUCGCUUGAUGGAUGGACAGAGGAGGAAAGGAAGGACUGAUGGAAUUACUGGGGUUCACAAGAGAUACAGGUGAUGCAACCUUCAAGUGAUGCUACCU
Molecule: long non-coding RNA, 1518 nt
Organism: Haliotis rubra (blacklip abalone)
Lineage: Eukaryota; Metazoa; Mollusca; Gastropoda; Lepetellida; Haliotidae
Exons: 6
Source: RefSeq, a predicted model, not a curated record